This 253-nucleotide ribosomal RNA is filed under the name uncultured bacterium. RNAcentral's name for it is "partial 16S ribosomal RNA". It matches the Rfam family "Bacterial small subunit ribosomal RNA", at positions 524 to 776 of the family's 1533-position model. The record is from RNAcentral.
UACAGAGGUCCCGAGCGUUGUUCGGAUUCACUGGGCGUAAAGGGUGCGCAGGUGGGUUGGCAAGUUCGAUGUGAAAGCCCCGGGCUUAACCCGGGAAUGGCAUUGGAAACUGCUGAUCUGGAGGAUCGGAGGGGGGACUGGAAUUCUUGGUGUAGCAGUGAAAUGCGUAGAUAUCAAGAGGAACACCAGUGGCGAAGGCGAGUCCCUGGACGAUACCUGACACUGAGGCACGAAAGCCAAGGGAGCAAACAGG